GGAUAGCUUCUUCUCCAUCAAACAGAGCAGAAUAUUUCUACAUUUACUACUUCCGAAGGCUACAAAUUCCUGGAAGUUUUUUUUUAAAUGUAAUUGUUCACAUGAAACAAGUUGCAAGUACAUGCCAAUAGAAAGCUGUCCAGUGCUGAAGGUGCUGAAAUCGAUCAGCAGCAAGGUCUGAGAGAAAACCUGAGCCCUAGGAUCAUGCUUCAGGACUACCUGGCCUGAUGACUCCUGGCUGUCCACAGUCCACCCGGUCGUGCUGCUGCUCCAGUUUCAACUGUUCUGCCUGCGGCUAGGGAACCCUGACCUGUUCACCGGACGUGCUACCUUGUCCCGGACCUGCUGUUUUCGACUUUCUCUCUCUCUACUGCACCUGCUGUCUCGAACUCUGAAUGCUCGGCUAUGAAAAGCCAGCUGAUAUAUACUCUGUGAGGUACUGACCUUUUGCACCCUCUACAACCACUGUGAUUAUUGUUUGACCCUGCUGGUCAUCUAUGAACGUUGGAACAUCUUGAAGAACAAUCUGGCCAUAAAUGGCCAUGUACCCUUAUAAUCUCCACCCGGCACAGCCAGAAGAGGACUGGCCACACCUCAGAGCCUGGUUCAACUCUAGGUGUCUUCCUUUUUCCUAUCCACUGUGCUUCUACAUCUGCAAUGCUUGCUGUUUUGGGUUUUAGGCUGGGUUUCAGUAUAGCACUUUGUGAAAUCUGCUGACAUAAAAAGGGCUUUAUAAAUACAUUUGAUUGAAAUUUGAUUGAUUGAGCGAGAGAGCACAUGGUGUGAGCACAUGUAAGUAGACAGACAGUUGGUUGCAGUGUCUUCAUGUUCAAAUCAAUUCAAAUUUUAUUAGUCACAUGCGUGGAAUACAACAGGUGUAGGUAGACCAUACAUUGAAAUGCUUACUUACGAGCCCCAACCAACAAUGCAGUUAAAAAAAAUAUGGAUCAGAAUAAGAAUUAAAAAUAACAAGUAAUUAAAGAGCAGCAGUAAAAUAACAAUAGCGAGACUAUAUACAGAGGGGUACCGGUACAGGGUCAAUGUGCGGGGGGAGGUCAUUUGUACAUGUAGGUAGAGCAUGACUAUGUAUAGAUGAUAACAGAGAGUAGCAGCGUGGUGUAAAAAGGGG
Oncorhynchus tshawytscha (Chinook salmon) is the source of this 1129-nucleotide long non-coding RNA. The record is from Ensembl. Lineage: Eukaryota; Metazoa; Chordata; Actinopteri; Salmoniformes; Salmonidae.